Molecule: transfer RNA, 74 nt
Filed under: Dermacentor andersoni
Lineage: Eukaryota; Metazoa; Arthropoda; Arachnida; Ixodida; Ixodidae
Description: transfer RNA threonine (anticodon CGU)
Rfam family: tRNA (bases 5-68)
About the family: Transfer RNA (tRNA) molecules are approximately 80 nucleotides in length. Their secondary structure includes four short double-helical elements and three loops (D, anti-codon, and T loops).
Source: RNAcentral
ACCACGGUAGCUCAAUUGGUGAGAGCAUCGCACCCGUAAUGCGAAGACGUGGGUUCGUAUCCCACCUGCGCGCA